Long non-coding RNA from Cryptomeria japonica (Japanese cedar), 799 nucleotides. RefSeq lists it as uncharacterized. The record is from RefSeq and is a predicted model, not a curated record. The transcript has 2 exons. Lineage: Eukaryota; Viridiplantae; Streptophyta; Pinopsida; Cupressales; Cupressaceae.
UUUAGGCAUGUUUUCAUUACUUUAGCCCUCAAUUAUGACAGAAUCUGAAGCAGGCAAGGCUCCCUAGGACUAUGUGUUAGACAACGACACGUCUUUAAAAAGUGUUAUUAUUUUAAUUUGCAUGUAUUGAGUUGUCGUAUUAAGUUUGUAUCUGCAAUGCUUAUUCUACCACGUAUGUGUUUAUUGCUUUGCAUGACACACUUGUACUUACCAUACCAUAAUAGCCCUGUCUGAGGAUAGUUAGUAAAAGGAGAACCGUAUUUGACCAAAAUAUUUGAAACAGGUAAUGGAAGAUUUCUGAGUACAUGUUUUUUGUGAAUUUGGUAUCAAUUGGAGACUUGGAUUCAUUGAGAUGUUUUGCAGAAUAAAGUGGGAGAGAUCAAUAGUCGUAUGCAAGUUGUAGUGCAGACCAUUCUUCCUCUUGGGUUUAGCAAUGAUCUCAUUUUCAAUACCAUGUAGCAUCUUUUUCAAGUAAUGGUUGUUGUUUUAGAUGUCCCCUAGCUAAAACCCAUUACAGCUUGAAUUGAACAUUUUGCAAUUUUAUUCCAUUUGCAAUAUACCUGUGUUUUGAGGAAUGAGUUCUAGUUUGUGUGUGGGCUGUGUGCGCGCUUAGGUAUAUAGUGAGUAGGAGGGCUGGGCAGUUGUUGAAGAAGAAUCAUACAAACUUGUUGAAACUGGAAGGCAUUUUGGGUAAAGAUGAACCUUGCUCUCCCAAAGUUAAUAGCUUCGUAUCUUUUCCCUUGGAAGUUGUCUCUUGAAAGUACAAACCUAUGAUGAAGUUAAUUUUUUUUGUUCCAAA